GACGAACGCUGGCGGCGUGCUUAACACAUGCAAGUCGAACGAUGAAGCCAGCUUGCUGGUGGAUUAGUGGCGAACGGGUGAGUAACACGUGGGUGAUCUGCCCCAAACUUUGGGAUAAGCCUGGGAAACUGGGUCUAAUACCGAAUAUUACCUUCUCCUGCAUGGGGGUUGGUGGAAAGCUCCGGCGGUUUGGGAUGGGCCCGCGGCCUAUCAGCUUGUUGGUGGGGUAAUGGCCUACCAAGGCGACGACGGGUAGCCGGCCUGAGAGGGCGACCGGCCACACUGGGACUGAGACACGGCCCAGACUCCUACGGGAGGCAGCAGUGGGGAAUAUUGCACAAUGGGCGCAAGCCUGAUGCAGCGACGCCGCGUGAGGGAUGACGGCCUUCGGGUUGUAAACCUCUUUCACCAGGGACGAAGCGUGAGUGACGGUACCUGGAGAAGAAGCACCGGCCAACUACGUGCCAGCCGCCGCCGUAACAC
RNAcentral lists this ribosomal RNA (483 nucleotides) under uncultured bacterium. RNAcentral's name for it is "bacterial SSU rRNA". It matches the Rfam family "Bacterial small subunit ribosomal RNA", at positions 28 to 526 of the family's 1533-position model. The record is from RNAcentral.